The submitters of this non-coding RNA (91 nucleotides) gave its source as unclassified sequences. The record is from Rfam.
AGGUCGGGAGCUGCACAGUGGGAUGUGUGGCAAGAAUAGACCUCUCUAUCGCUGUCUCGUAGGGAUUAGCGCCGUGGCCCGACGGUGCUCG